CGGAGCGUGCCGCUAUAAUGGAGUCGGGCUGAGAAGCCAGGUGACUCGAGUUGAGGGUGCUGAACCUCGCAUGCGGAGCUUGCCGCUACAAUGGAGUCGGGCUGAGAAGCUAAGUGACUUGAGGCGAGGGUGUUGAACCUCGUAUGCGGAGCUUGCCGCUACAAUGGAGUCGGGCUGAGAAGCCAGGCGACUCGAGGCGAGGGUGCUAAACCUCGCAUGCGGAGCUUGCCGCUACAAUGGAGUCGGGCCGAGAAGCCAGGUGACUCGAGGCGAGGGUGGUGAACCUCAUAUGCGGAGCGUGCCGCUAUAAUGGCGUUGGGAUGAGAAGCCAGACGACUCGAGGUGAGGGUGCUGAACCUCGCAUGCGGAGCGUGCCGCUAUAAUGGCGUUGGGAUGAGAAGCCAGACGACUCGAGGUGAGGGUGCUGAACCUCGCAUGCGGAGCAUGCCGCUAUAAUGGAGUUGGGCUGAGAAGCCAGGCCACUCGAGGCGAGGGUGCUGAACCUCCCAUACGGAGCGUGCCGCUAUAAUGGAGUCAGGAUGAGAAGCAAGGCGACUCGAGGCGAGAGUACUGAACCUCGCAUGACUGGGUGUAGCACCCUACAAUCUAUGUAUCUAGCUCGUGUGACCAGUCUGGGUUAAAUAGAAAUGGUACCUGACGCUUUGUUGCCUCG
RNAcentral lists this long non-coding RNA (673 nucleotides) under Lactuca sativa (garden lettuce). RNAcentral's name for it is "long non-coding RNA (LSAT_LNC004797)". Lineage: Eukaryota; Viridiplantae; Streptophyta; Magnoliopsida; Asterales; Asteraceae. The record is from RNAcentral.